GAUGAACGCUGGCGGCGUGCCUAAUACAUGCAAGUCGAGCGAACGGACGAGACGCUUGCUUCUUUGAUGUUAGCGGCGGACGGGUGAGUAACACGUGGAUAACCUACCUAUAAGACUGGGAUAACUUCGGGAAACCGGAGCUUAUACCGGAUAAUCUUUUGAACCGCAUGGUUCAAAAGUGAAAGACGGUCUUUCUGUCACUUCUAGAUGGUUCCGCGCUGCAUUAGAUAGUUGGUACGUUAACGGGUUACCAAGGCAACGAUGCAUAGCCGACCUGAGAGGGUGAUCGGCCACACUGGAACUGAGACACGGUCCAGGCUCCUACGGGAGGCAGCAGUAGGGAAUCUGCCGCAAUGGGCGAAAGCCUGACGGGGCAACGCCGCGUGAGUGAUGAAGGUGUUCGGAUCGUAAAACUCUGUUAUUAGGGAAGAACAGAUGUGUAAGUAACUGUGCACAUCUUGACGGUACCUAAUCAGAAAGCCACGGCUAACUACGUG
Molecule: ribosomal RNA, 497 nt
Filed under: uncultured bacterium
Lineage: Bacteria
Description: partial 16S ribosomal RNA
Rfam family: Bacterial small subunit ribosomal RNA
Source: RNAcentral